Molecule: ribosomal RNA, 119 nt
Filed under: Brassica napus (rape)
Lineage: Eukaryota; Viridiplantae; Streptophyta; Magnoliopsida; Brassicales; Brassicaceae
Source: RNAcentral
UUGUGCGAUCGUACCAGCAUUAAUGUACCGGAUCCCAUCAGAACUCCGCAGUUAAGCGUGUUUUGGCGAGAGUAGUAUUAAGAUGGGUGACCUCCCGGAAAAUCCUCGUGUUUCACUCC